Varroa destructor (honeybee mite) is the source of this 4004-nucleotide RNA transcript. It is a transcript of the gene named phytanoyl-CoA dioxygenase, peroxisomal-like, with no coding region annotated. The record is from RefSeq and is a predicted model, not a curated record. NCBI's taxonomy places the organism in Eukaryota, Metazoa, Arthropoda, Arachnida, Mesostigmata, Varroidae.
UGCGAAUGUGAUUGCCAGUAGACAGGCCGCGGCUGAUGGCUCUGUCUUGUUACUGUUUUAAAAACGGCACAAACCGGUGACGGUGUUAACACUAAACCGAUCAUAAGCAAAACGUUUUCUUCUAUCUGAUCAUAUAGAUAGAGAAACACCGCAAAAAAAAAUGGCCACGAGUCUUCGGCUUAGCGCAAUACUAUGUCAGUCAGAGUAGGAGUUGAAAAGGAGGAUUACAGAGCUGUAGAUUGAUUGAGUGAACAGGAACUUGUUGAAAGUACCAAUCGACUACUAGAAACUAUCGAAUUGCAUGUGUUAGGCGUUCGCGCCGUAUGUUUUUGCGAUUCAAAGGUGCGUGAAGACCUGUAAAUCAUGUUGAUUAAAGCCUUCUUGCGAGUCUUCCCCGCACGACUUGCUCCCAUGCUAGCAACAGUUUGUAGGCCAAGGGCGCCUCAAAGCAAUCAACAACGAUACGCGUCACAGUUCCGCUUCACGCUCGAUCACCCCAAGCUAUCUACAGAGCAGCGGCAAUUCUACGAAGAAAAUGGCUACAUGAUCGUCAAGGGGAUGUUCGAUCCUCAAGAUCUGCAAAAGUUCGCCAAACGUUUCGACGACAUUGCCAGCGGCAAAGUGAAGAUCCCCGGUCUCACCAUCAUGAGAGACAUCACCGUCAAGAAUGCUAAAAAUCAGGACAAGUAUGUCGUCAACAAGUUGCAGGACCUCUUUUUCGACGAAGAGCUCUGGGAGUAUUGCACAUGCCCUCGAGUGCUGGACUGGGUUGAGGCAUUUGUUGGGAAGGACCAGAUGGCCGUACAUACGAUGCUGAUCAACAAGCCACCAGAUACGGGGGCGUUGACAUCUCGCCAUCCGCUGCACCAAGACUUGCACUAUUUUCCAUUCCGACCAGCAGACCGCGUCGUCUGUGCGUGGACUGCAAUCGAGCGCGUUAAUCGGGAAAAUGGUUGUUUGGUGGGAAUUCCAGGCUCGCAUAAGGGACUCCUGUUGGAACACGUAUAUCCUGAAUGGGAGGCUGGUGUUAACAAAGGUUAUUAUGGAAUCAAAAAUUAUAAUGAGUUUAUAGAUGAUCGUGUACAUUUUGAGAUGGAGGCCGGGGAUAUGAUAUUGUUCCAUCCGCUCCUUAUCCACGGAUCCGGCGCCAACCGUUCAAAAGGAUUCCGAAAGGCGAUCUCAUGUCACUACGUCGCAUCGAAGUGUAGAUACAUCGAUGUGGCAGGCACUAGUCAAGAGAAUAUUGCGAAGGAAGUCCUUAAGAUAGUUGAGAAGCGAGGGAUCCCUAUCUUCGAUUACAGUUAGUGGAAUCGGAUUGUACGGUCGUUUAAUAGAGACUAUUGAUGAUAUGAUGUGCCUACGAUAGAGCUUCUGGAAGCAAUUUAAGUGAGACGUUUGGCGUUACCGAGCCCAGUUGGUACGCGGUGAACGGUUCAACCUCUAAACUAUGUCCGCUUUAGCCUUCCCUGGCGUUUCGCUAUACUUUCGUGAUGCGGCGGUUCUGUCUGCGCAAACGCAACGGGAAGGAGAUGUGUUUUCCACGGAAGACCGGCCGAAACCGACUUGCAGCAAUAGAAUAAGGGGCCCAUACCCAUUUACUCGGUACGACCUCAACUGCAUCGGCCACGACGGUACGGUAGAAAAGCAAACGCAAUAGAAACACCGAACAGGAAGUAAGAUAAGACUUUUUACGCGGGUUCGCUGCUUCCUCUGGCGUCCGGCAUUGGCCGUGUUGCCUGCAUUGGCCCCUAGUCCUCCCAGCCCUUGGAUUCCACUCCGAAGACUGGGGAGAGCUUCCUCAAUAGUUACCAUUCUCUUCACUAUUCUAUAACUUGUCCGACACAGCUCAAGCGGUCCAUGUGUUUACCUUGCCCUCCCUAAGGACCGCUUCGGUCUGCCUACUCUCAUAGCCCUUGGCUAGUUGCUACAACAGCUGGGAUAUGCCUGCUACUAGCUACCGCUGGCAGGAUACACGGCAAUCGUCCCGCUAGUUGUUGCUCGUUCGCCGCGACAUGAAGUAUCAUAAUUAGCAGAAACCAGUAGCACCUUUCAUCAUUCGCAUCAUAAGCCAAAAAGUCAUCUCGGAUACUCGAAGCCAGAGCUUCGAAUAUCCGACAGAUAAAUAGAGAGUUGUUUUUCGCGUUCGGGAAGACGAAAGCCGAUUCUGGGUUCAAUGGCCAGACAGUCCGGGAUGAAAUGACCCUCUGAUCCAAAGCGCUCAAACCAGUGCUGUGUAGCAGUCACGCGUACUAUGGAUAGCCGCAGCGGUGGCUUUGCCGGUCUAGUCGCUAACGGGACCAGCGCGAUCUGGUUAAAGAGAAAGUCAUCUGAAACACGGACGCCAUUAGCUGCUGCUGUUGUUAGUACCAGCCCCCACGGGCAUCGCGACGUGGCCCAAAGCGCAAGACAACUUCAUCUAUGAGAGAGUCAGCAUAAAAGCCUGUUCGAUUUAGAGCAGAGCUCUCUGUUACAACGAUCAAUAAACUCCAGAGCGGUUACCAUUUCUACGGCUAGUACAACCAAAGGACGGGUAGAAGCCGCUGCUAUGGCUGCUACUGUCCUGACCGUCGUCACUGCCACCGCUGCUGAAUCAACUGUUUCAACUGUUUUUAUCUGGCCAACGUAACCACAGAGACGUGGUCGCUGCGGCGUUUAUCAGCAACGCUAGCAGAAGAAUGAUAAGAAACUAGGUCCGGUUCGGUUGGGAGUUUUGAGGGGCUGUGGGAAGUCCUGGCGCGACAGGCAGAGGGUCGGAACUGGCGAGGUUAACUGGCUGGCUCCCGGCUCAGACAGAACACCGAAGCCACUGCCGCCGAAGGGACAUAGUAGUUGUACUUGGAAAAGAAGGAAAAAAGCUUAUCAGUGCUGAGAUGAUACCGGAGCCGGAUGAAAUCGGACGAGAAGGGUAGUUAUCGUUUUUAGAGAGGAAGGAAGAAACAUGUUGGGGGCAAACCAUUGCGAUAAAGGGUAAUUGGGGUUGCUAUUGCUGGUUCUGCUGCUGUUAUUGCCGUUGCAGCGGAACGAGAAAUUUUCACGUCUUUAUAAUGGUGGCGGAAAUCACUACGAUCCUGGUGAUGAACCCGUGUUGUGUUAGGGCGGAUUGACAUAGUGCUGGUUAUGAUGGUGACGUCUGUGUUUAUUUUUCUACUUUUGAACGCGAGCAUCAGUAGAAGCAAUUAGUCUGUCGAGAUAGAUGCAUCGUACAUAAAUCUGCGUGAGACGUGUCUGCUAGUCGACCUGUGUGAAUUGGUUGUUAUGGAAGCUACUGGAAAUAGCGCGGCAUAGAAUCGAACGAGUCUUAGGGAAAAUCAGCUGGUAGCAUGGUGUACGAUUUUGGCCUAGAUUGCUAGUGAGAGUCUGACGCCUUAUUUCUAUAAAAGCGAGAAUCCGAGGUUUCACGAAAGAAGGAAGCGCUAUGAAAGUUAGGGUGCCUGACCAAAUACAAAGGUAAUUGUUAGUAGCGCUAAUGCUCUUUUGCCACUCUUUGUGACGUUGUCUAUGAAAUAAUGAAGUAAUGACCGUUUAUAGAGAUAGUCUCAUUAAGUGAAGUCUCGUUUGAGAUGCUAACACUAACCUUUUGCAUAUUUUUCUCACAAUUUUUUAUAUAAGUCCUUUGAUAUAUAGAUAAUACAACAAAGAUGAUGAAAAAAACAAGGAUAUAAUGAAAAGCCUCGAACUAUCAACCUAAUAAAGCAACCUUUUCUGUGGUGAAAGUAUGGACGAAUAUUGAACGCACGUAUAAAACAUGUAGAUGCAUACGUUACUGAAAAGAUUCUAUGGGUUGACGACGAUUUUGACAAGUGAGCAUAUCGUUAUGUGAAUUUUAAUUGUGAGAUGGAACAUUUAGGAAGGAGCGAUGAUGAUCAUUUUAGUAUUUUACCGUUUAAUUUUAAUUAGAUUAGAAUUAACAAGAUGGAUUUUGGAACUAAAACUAAUGUUACCAAUACAACACACCAAAAUAAAUAUCUGAAUCCGUGUUUUUAAUUAAAAUUAUCUACUUUUUA